UAAUACGGAGGGGGCCAGCGUUGUUCGGAAUCAUUGGGCGUAAAGGGCGCCUAGGUGGCGGAGCAAGUCGGACGUGAAAGCCCUCGGCUCAACCGGGGAACUGCAUCCGAAACUGCUUUGCUUGAGUCCUGGAGAGGGUAGCGGAAUUCCCAGUGUAGCGGUGAAAUGCGUAGAUACUGGGAGGAACACCGGUGGCGAAGGCGGCUACCUGGACAGGUACUGACACUGACGCGCGAAAGCGUGGGGAGCAAACAGGAUUAGAUACCCUGGUAGUCCACGCUGUAAACGAUGGGCACUUGGUGUUGCGGGUAUCGACCCCUGCAGUGCCGAAGCUAACGCAUUAAGUGCCCCGCCUGGGGAGUACGGUCGCAAGGCUG
This 377-nucleotide ribosomal RNA is filed under the name uncultured bacterium. Its description in RNAcentral is "bacterial SSU rRNA". It matches the Rfam family "Bacterial small subunit ribosomal RNA", at positions 521 to 896 of the family's 1533-position model. The record is from RNAcentral.